ACCUGGGUGGCUCAGUCGGUUAAGCGUCUGACUUCAGCUCAGGUCAUGAUCUCGCAGUUCGUGAGUUCAAGCCCCGCAUCAGGUC
This 85-nucleotide transfer RNA is filed under the name Felis catus (domestic cat). It matches the Rfam family "tRNA". From Rfam's summary of the family: Transfer RNA (tRNA) molecules are approximately 80 nucleotides in length. The record is from Rfam by way of RNAcentral. Lineage: Eukaryota; Metazoa; Chordata; Mammalia; Carnivora; Felidae.